This 1332-nucleotide ribosomal RNA is filed under the name uncultured bacterium. RNAcentral's name for it is "bacterial SSU rRNA". It matches the Rfam family "Bacterial small subunit ribosomal RNA", at positions 28 to 1381 of the family's 1533-position model. The record is from RNAcentral.
GACGAACGUUGGCGGCGCGCCUAACACAUGCAAGUCGAACGAGCGAGAGAGAGCUUGCUUUCUCGAGCGAGUGGCGAACGGGUGAGUAACGCGUGAGGAACCUGCCUCAAAGAGGGGGACAACAGUUGGAAACGACUGCUAAUACCGCAUAAGCCCACGGCUCGGCAUCGAGCAGAGGGAAAAGGAGCAAUCCGCUUUGAGAUGGCCUCGCGUCCGAUUAGCUAGUUGGUGAGGUAAUGGCCCACCAAGGCGACGAUCGGUAGCCGGACUGAGAGGUUGAACGGCCACAUUGGGACUGAGACACGGCCCAGACUCCUACGGGAGGCAGCAGUGGGGAAUAUUGCACAAUGGGGGAAACCCUGAUGCAGCGACGCCGCGUGGAGGAAGAAGGUCUUCGGAUUGUAAACUCCUGUUGUUGGGGAAGAUAAUGACGGUACCCAACAAGGAAGUGACGGCUAACUACGUGCCAGCAGCCGCGGUAAAACGUAGGUCACAAGCGUUGUCCGGAAUUACUGGGUGUAAAGGGAGCGCAGGCGGGAAGACAAGUUGGAAGUGAAAUCUAUGGGCUCAACCCAUAAACUGCUUUCAAAACUGUUUUUCUUGAGUAGUGCAGAGGUAGGCGGAAUUCCCGGUGUAGCGGUGGAAUGCGUAGAUAUCGGGAGGAACACCAGUGGCGAAGGCGGCCUACUGGGCACCAACUGACGCUGAGGCUCGAAAGUGUGGGUAGCAAACAGGAUUAGAUACCCUGGUAGUCCACACCGUAAACGAUGAUUACUAGGUGUUGGAGGAUUGACCCCUUCAGUGCCGCAGUUAACACAAUAAGUAAUCCACCUGGGGAGUACGACCGCAAGGUUGAAACUCAAAGGAAUUGACGGGGGCCCGCACAAGCAGUGGAGUAUGUGGUUUAAUUCGACGCAACGCGAAGAACCUUACCAAGUCUUGACAUCCCUUGACAGGCAUAGAAAUAUGUUUUCUCUUCGGAGCAAGGAGACAGGUGGUGCAUGGUUGUCGUCAGCUCGUGUCGUGAGAUGUUGGGUUAAGUCCCGCAACGAGCGCAACCCUUAUGGUCAGUUACUACGCAAGAGGACUCUGGCCAGACUGCCGUUGACAAAACGGAGGAAGGUGGGGAUGACGUCAAAUCAUCAUGCCCUUUAUGACUUGGGCUACACACGUACUACAAUGGCGUUAAACAAAGAGAAGCAAGACCGCGAGGUGGAGCAAAACUCAGAAACAACGUCCCAGUUCGGACUGCAGGCUGCAACUCGCCUGCACGAAGUCGGAAUUGCUAGUAAUCGUGGAUCAGCAUGCCACGGUGAAUACGUUCCCGGGCCU